Molecule: long non-coding RNA, 246 nt
Filed under: Sorghum bicolor (sorghum)
Lineage: Eukaryota; Viridiplantae; Streptophyta; Magnoliopsida; Poales; Poaceae
Description: long non-coding RNA (SBIC_LNC014946)
Source: RNAcentral
GCCACCGCUCCUCCCGUAUCCAUGUAGGAUUCAUUUUUUUAAAAGUUCUACUCCUUCCUCUGUAUCGUGGGCUUGGGCAGCCAAACAAAGCCGCGAUGGACACAGCAAAAACGUAAGGAAGAAGCAAAUCAGCAAAUUAGAGCACGAACAAUUCACUUUAUCAGGCAACACACGCAAGGGAAAAAGGAAAUCAGCAAAUCAGAGCACGAACAAUUCACUGUAUCGCAACAGGCAUUCACGGCUUCA